RNAcentral lists this long non-coding RNA (291 nucleotides) under Elaeis guineensis (African oil palm). RNAcentral describes it as "long non-coding RNA (EGUI_LNC064787)". The record is from RNAcentral. Lineage: Eukaryota; Viridiplantae; Streptophyta; Magnoliopsida; Arecales; Arecaceae.
UUUAUUCGUGCAGGGUUGUUAUUUGCCGAGCUCCUUUUCGACUUUUACGCCGUUCGAAGAUACCCGGUUGUCAUUCUGUCAAUGGCUGCAGGUUCGCUUGGGGUCAUUCGGGUCCGGGGUCCCUUCCAAGGUUUGAAUUCGAGGAUCCGAGCCUCUGUCACCCUCGGGCGCUGUUUAUUUUCCAAUCGUCACUGUUGCAAUCCAUUGCCUUCUUUUUUCGCUUGGAGUCUUUCUCCGCUAAAGCCGAGGCGAAAUUCGGCUCCCGUGGGAGUCCGGGCGGAGUCUGCUUGC